GAUGAACGCUAGCGGGAGGCUUAAUACAUGCAAGUCGAGCGGCAAGUUUUGAUAGCAAUAUUGGAACCUAGAGCGGCGCACGGGUGAGUAACGCGUACAUGACCUGCCCUAUACUGGGGGAUAGUCUUGGGAAACUGAGAAUAAUCCCGCAUGUGAUUAGUAUGCUGCAUGGCAAAUUAAUCAAAGCUGAGGCGGUAUAGGAUGGGUGUGCGUCUGAUUAGCUAGUUGGUAGUGUAACGGACUACCAAGGCGAUGAUCAGUAGGGGGCGUGAGAGCGUGACCCCCCACACGGGUACUGAGACACGGACCCGACUCCUACGGGAGGCAGCAGUAAGGAAUAUUGGUCAAUGGAGGGAACUCUGAACCAGCCAUCCCGCGUGAAGGAUGAAGGGGCUCUGCCUUGUAAACUUCUUUUGCAUGGGACAAAAAAACUUAAUUUAUUAAGGACUGACGGUACCAUGAGAAUAAGCACCGGCUAACUCCGUGCCAGCA
Molecule: ribosomal RNA, 492 nt
Filed under: uncultured bacterium
Lineage: Bacteria
Description: bacterial SSU rRNA
Rfam family: Bacterial small subunit ribosomal RNA
Source: RNAcentral